GCCUUUGGGGGGGGUGCUAUACAUGCAAGUCGAGCGAAUCAAAGGGAGCUUGCUCCCUGAGAUUAGCGGCGGACGGGUGAGUAACACGUGGGUAACCUGCCUGUAAGAUUGGGAUAACUCCGGGAAACCGGAGCUAAUACCGGAUAACAUUUCGAACCGCAUGGUUCGGAAUUGAAAGGUGGCUUUUGCUACCACUUACAGAUGGACCCGCGGCGCAUUAGCUAGUUGGUGAGGUAACGGCUCACCAAGGCGACGAUGCGUAGCCGACCUGAGAGGGUGAUCGGCCACACUGGGACUGAGACACGGCCCAGACUCCUACGGGAGGCAGCAGUAGGGAAUCUUCCGCAAUGGACGAAAGUCUGACGGAGCAACGCCGCGUGAACGAUGAAGGCCUUCGGGUCGUAAAGUUCUGUUGUUAGGGAAGAACAAGUACCAGAGUAACUGCUGGUACCUUGACGGUACCUAACCAGAAAGCCACGGCUAACUACGUGCCAGCAGCCGCGGUAAUACGUAGGUGGCAAGCGUUGUCCGGAAUUAUUGGGCGUAAAGCGCGCGCAGGCGGUUUCUUAAGUCUGAUGUGAAAGCCCACGGCUCAACCGUGGAGGGU
RNAcentral lists this ribosomal RNA (607 nucleotides) under bacterium. Its description in RNAcentral is "bacterial SSU rRNA". It matches the Rfam family "Bacterial small subunit ribosomal RNA", at positions 33 to 623 of the family's 1533-position model. The record is from RNAcentral.